AUUGAACGCUGGCGGCAGGCCUAACACAUGCAAGUCGAGCGGAUGAAGGGAGCUUGCUCCUGGAUUCAGCGGCGGACGGGUGAGUAAUGCCUAGGAAUCUGCCUGGUAGUGGGGGAUAACGUCCGGAAACGGGCGCUAAUACCGCAUACGUCCUGAGGGAGAAAGUGGGGGAUCUUCGGACCUCACGCUAUCAGAUGAGCCUAGGUCGGAUUAGCUAGUUGGUGGGGUAAAGGCCUACCAAGGCGACGAUCCGUAACUGGUCUAAGAGGAUGAUCAGUCACACUGGAACUGAGACACGGUUCAGACUCCUACGGGAGGCAGCAGUGGGGAAUAUUGGACAAUGGGCGAAAGCCUGAUCCAGCCAUGCCGCGUGUGUGAAGAAGGUCUUCGGAUUGUAAAGCACUUUAAGUUGGGAGGAAGGGCAGUAAGUUAAUACCUUGCUGUUUUGACGUUACCAACAGAAUAAGCACCGGCUAACUUCGUG
RNAcentral lists this ribosomal RNA (484 nucleotides) under uncultured bacterium. Its description in RNAcentral is "partial 16S ribosomal RNA". It matches the Rfam family "Bacterial small subunit ribosomal RNA", at positions 30 to 507 of the family's 1533-position model. The record is from RNAcentral.